This 410-nucleotide long non-coding RNA is filed under the name Mytilus galloprovincialis (Mediterranean mussel). Lineage: Eukaryota; Metazoa; Mollusca; Bivalvia; Mytilida; Mytilidae. The record is from RNAcentral.
AAUCUUUUUUUUUGGGGGGUAUUAUUUAUAUUUUUAUAAAUAAUAUUCUUUACACCAGAAAUGUUAUUUUUAAACAAGCGUAUGAGUUAAGUAAUGACUAGUAUAUUAUAUCACUUUCGGACACGCAAGACAGAGAUGUAUAUUAUACACCUGAUAGUUCAAAAUGGAAAGUUAUAAGUUAUCGGCCGUGUACACUGAUCAAUACCUACAGAAGUGAAACGAUGCAUGAACUUGCAAGCCCGACAGGAAAUCGCUUGAAUACCUGGACGUGUCACCUCACACCCCUCACAAUACCUUUAGCCAUGCUGGUGAUCAGAUGAGGGAAGAUCCGAAUUUAUUUGAAUAAAGUUUAUUACUUUAAAGAAUUAUGAACGAAUUAGAUUUUCGAAAACAAUUUUCACGGAACACUU